AAUUCGAUUAACGCGAAGAACCUUACCUACUCUUGACAUCCAGAGAAGCUUUUAGAGAUAGAGGCGUGCCUUCGGGAACUUUGAGACAGGUGCUGCAUGGCUGUCGUCAGCUCGUGUUGUGAAAUGUUGGGUUAAGUCCCGCAACGAGCGCAACCCUUAUCCUUUGUUGCCAGCGAUACGGUCGGGAACUCAAAGGAGACUGCCGGUGAUAAACCGGAGGAAGGUGGGGAUGACGUCAAGUCAUCAUGGCCCUUACGAGUAGGGCUACACACGUGCUACAAUGGCGUAUACAGAGAGAGGCGAGCCUGCGAGGGGAAGCGGAACUCAGAAAGUACAUCGAAGUCCGGAUUGGAGUCUGCAACUCGACUCCAUGAAGUCGGAAUCGCCAGUAAUCG
RNAcentral lists this ribosomal RNA (395 nucleotides) under uncultured Arsenophonus sp. RNAcentral's name for it is "bacterial SSU rRNA". It matches the Rfam family "Bacterial small subunit ribosomal RNA", at positions 948 to 1344 of the family's 1533-position model. Lineage: Bacteria; Pseudomonadati; Pseudomonadota; Gammaproteobacteria; Enterobacterales; Morganellaceae. The record is from RNAcentral.